UGGGGGAUAACGUAGGGAAACUUACGCUAAUACCGCAUACGACCUACGGGUGAAAGCAGGGGAUCUUCGGACCUUGCGCGAUUGAAUGAGCCGAUGUCGGAUUAGCUAGUUGGCGGGGUAAAGGCCCACCAAGGCGACGAUCCGUAGCUGGUCUGAGAGGAUGAUCAGCCACACUGGAACUGAGACACGGUCCAGACUCCUACGGGAGGCAGCAGUGGGGAAUAUUGGACAAUGGGCGCAAGCCUGAUCCAGCCAUACCGCGUGGGUGAAGAAGGCCUUCGGGUUGUAAAGCCCUUUUGUUGGGAAAGAAAUCCAGCCGGNUAAUACCUGGUUGGGAUGACGGUACCCAAAGAAUAAGCACCGGCUAACUUCGUGCCAGCAGCCGCGGUAAUACGAAGGGUGCAAGCGUUACUCGGAAUUACUGGGCGUAAAGCGUGCGUAGGUGGUUGUUUAAGUCUGUUGUGAAAGCCCUGGGCUCAACCUGGGAACUGCAGUGGAAACUGGACAACUAGAGUGUGGUAGAGGGUAGCGGAAUUCCCGGUGUAGCAGUGAAAUGCGUA
This 560-nucleotide ribosomal RNA is filed under the name Stenotrophomonas sp. N10-4. Its description in RNAcentral is "bacterial SSU rRNA". It matches the Rfam family "Bacterial small subunit ribosomal RNA", at positions 137 to 692 of the family's 1533-position model. The record is from RNAcentral. Lineage: Bacteria; Pseudomonadati; Pseudomonadota; Gammaproteobacteria; Lysobacterales; Lysobacteraceae.